AACGAACGCUGGCGGCGUGCUUAACACAUGCAAGUCGAACGGAAAGACCCUGCUUGUGUGGGGUUCUCGAGUGGCAAACGGGAGAGUAACACGGGAAUAACCUUGGCUGUGCGUUGGUAUGACUGCAGGAAACUGGUGCUACUACCUAAUAGGAGCUCCUGCAGCAGGGGGGGGUUUGGAAAUUUUAGGCGGAUGUGGAUGUACGCGCGGCUUAUCAGCUUGUGGGUUGGGUAGUUGCUUACCAAGGCAUUGGCGGGUAGCCGGCCUGAGAGGUUGACCAGCGACCUGGGGCCUGAGGUAGGGCACAGACUCGUAUGUGAGGCAGCAGUGGGGAACAUUGUCCAACGAUCGCACGUGUGAUGAAGCAAUGUCGCGUGCGGGAAGCCGUUUUUCGGGUUGUAAACCGCUUUAGGUUGUGACGAAGCGUGUGUGACGUUACUGGGAAAAGAAGCACCGGCUAACUACGUG
RNAcentral lists this ribosomal RNA (468 nucleotides) under uncultured bacterium. RNAcentral's name for it is "partial 16S ribosomal RNA". It matches the Rfam family "Bacterial small subunit ribosomal RNA", at positions 28 to 507 of the family's 1533-position model. The record is from RNAcentral.